GGUUAAGCGACUAAGCGUACACGGUGGAUGCCCUGGCAGUCAGAGGCGAUGAAGGACGUGCUAAUCUGCGAUAAGCGUCGGUAAGGUGAUAUGAACCGUUAUAACCGGCGAUUUCCGAAUGGGGAAACCCAAGUGUGAUUCGUCACACUAUCAUUAACUGAAUCCAUAGGUUAAUGAGGCGAACCGGGGGAACUGAAACAUCUAAGUACCCCGAGGAAAAGAAAUCAACCGAGAUUCCCCCAGUAGCGGCGAGCGAACGGGGAGCAGCCCAGAGUCUGAAUCAGUGUGUGUGUUAGUGGAAGCGUCUGGAAAGGCGCGCGAUACAGGGUGACAGCCCCGUACACAAAAAUGCACAUGCUGUGAGCUCGAUGAGUAGGGCGGGACACGUGGUAUCCUGUCUGAAUAUGGGGGGACCAUCCUCCAAGGCUAAAUACUCCUGACUGACCGAUAGUGAACCAGUACCGUGAGGGAAAGGCGAAAAGAACCCCGGCGAGGGGAGUGAAAAAGAACCUGAAACCGUGUACGUACAAGCAGUGGGAGCACGCUUAGGCGUGUGACCGCGUACCUUUUGUAUAAUGGGUCAGCGACUUAUAUUCUGUAGCAAGGUUAACCGAAUAGGGGAGCCGAAGGGAAACCGAGUCUUAACUGGGCGUUAAGUUGCAGGGUAUAGACCCGAAACCCGGUGAUCUAGCCAUGGGCAGGUUGAAGGUUGGGUAACACUAACUGGAGGACCGAACCGACUAAUGUUGAAAAAUUAGCGGAUGACUUGUGGCUGGGGGUGAAAGGCCAAUCAAACCGGGAGAUAGCUGGUUCUCCCCGAAAGCUAUUUAGGUAGC
RNAcentral lists this ribosomal RNA (836 nucleotides) under Escherichia coli. Its description in RNAcentral is "partial 23S ribosomal RNA". It matches the Rfam family "Bacterial large subunit ribosomal RNA", at positions 1 to 878 of the family's 2925-position model. The record is from RNAcentral. Lineage: Bacteria; Pseudomonadati; Pseudomonadota; Gammaproteobacteria; Enterobacterales; Enterobacteriaceae.